Neopelma chrysocephalum (saffron-crested tyrant-manakin) is the source of this 396-nucleotide long non-coding RNA. RefSeq lists it as uncharacterized. The transcript has 3 exons. NCBI's taxonomy places the organism in Eukaryota, Metazoa, Chordata, Aves, Passeriformes, Pipridae. The record is from RefSeq and is a predicted model, not a curated record.
AGUGAGAUUAAGACAAAGGAAGAAGAGCAUCAGCGCAAGAUCAAUGACCUCAAUGCUCAAAGAGCUCGUCUGCAGACAGAAGCAGGUGAAUAUUCACGCCAGGUGGAAGAAAAAGAUGGUUUGAUAUCUCAGCUAUCCAGAGGCAAACAGGCAUUCACUCAACAGAUUGAGGAACUAAAGAGACAUUUAGAGGAAGAAAUAAAGGCCAAGAACGCCCUGGCCCACGCCCUGCAGUCCGCUCGCCACGACUGUGACUUGCUCCGGGAACAAUAUGAGGAGGAGCAGGAAGCCAAGGGGGAGCUGCAGCGCGCCCUGUCCAAGGCCAACAGCGAAGUGGCCCAGUGGAGAACCAAAUACGAGACGGACGCGAUUCAGCGCACGGAGGAGCUCGAGGAG